Molecule: long non-coding RNA, 261 nt
Filed under: Helianthus annuus (common sunflower)
Lineage: Eukaryota; Viridiplantae; Streptophyta; Magnoliopsida; Asterales; Asteraceae
Description: sRNA HanXRQr2_Chr08g0360861
Source: RNAcentral
UUCGAUUUACUAUGGGAUAACCCCCACUGUUUUCGAAUCCAUCCCUAUCUCCUUCUUAUCUCAUCUCAUUCGGUUUACAGAUCUGACCCACCUGAAACCGAACCUUAGCUAAAAAUAAAAGCUCCUCAGCUCCUAGCGACGAUGCGUACGUGCGAAUGCGCCUCAAACGCGCCCAUUCGCGAGCUCGCGGCUCGGCUCGGCUCGGCGCGCGUGUGGGCUUCACCCACUUCUCAACCCAUUUACCACUUUGGAGGCCCAUAA